GAUGAAGAACGCAGCGAAAUGCGAUACGUAAUGUGAAUUGCAGAAUUCAGUGAAUCAUCGAGUCUUUGAACGCACAUUUCGCCCCCUGGUAUUCCGGGGGGCAUGCCUGUCCGAGCGUCAUUGCUGCCCUCAAGCACGGCUUGUGUGUUGGGCCUCCGUCCUCCUCCCGGGGGACGGGCCCGAAAGGCAGCGGCGGCACCGCGUCCGGUCCUCGAGCGUAUGGGGCUUCGUCACCCGCUCUUGUAGGCCCGGCCGGCGCUUGCCGACACAUCAAUCUUUUUUCCAGGUUGACCUCGGAUCAGGUAGGGAUACCCGCUGAACUUAAGCAUAUCAAUAAGCGGAGGA
RNAcentral lists this unclassified non-coding RNA (345 nucleotides) under soil metagenome. RNAcentral's name for it is "partial contains 5.8S ribosomal RNA, internal transcribed spacer 2, and large subunit ribosomal RNA". The stretch from base 1 to 120 matches the Rfam family "5.8S ribosomal RNA", at positions 35 to 154 of the family's 154-position model. The record is from RNAcentral.